RNAcentral lists this small RNA (77 nucleotides) under Pedobacter psychrophilus. RNAcentral's name for it is "Pedobacter sp. CCM 8644 Flavo-1 RNA". It matches the Rfam family "Flavo-1 RNA". Lineage: Bacteria; Pseudomonadati; Bacteroidota; Sphingobacteriia; Sphingobacteriales; Sphingobacteriaceae. The record is from Rfam by way of RNAcentral.
UUGCAAUAGGGAUUGGUACGGAAAUCCUUUUUCUGAAUUUUCAUCAGAAAAAGAUUGGAGAGAAAGCCCGACCCCAA